UCGCGGGGCCGCCCCGCCGCCCCCCCUCCCGGGCGCCCCGCGCGCCCGGGCUGCGUCUGCCGGCUCCCCUCGCCUCCCACCCGCCUCUCCGCUCCCCUUGCUCCCGCGCCCAGUUUGGGCUCCGCUUUCUUCUUUCAGGGCCUCUCGGAUCACAACCCCCGCCCCCCCUUGGCUCGCCCGCUCCUGCUGGCCAGCCUGCAGGCGUCUCUUCGUUUUGCAGUGUACACCACCUGAAUCUGUAACCCCAAAGAGGAGUUCCCACGGGGGGGAACAAAAGAAGAAAAAGAAAGCGAACCCCGGUGGCGCUCCCAAAUCCACCCUUCCCAGGGGUCGGCUCCACUGCCUUGGUCAUCGGCUCACAUCACCCGGCGGCAGACAAGGCUCAGCACUUCCUUGAGUUUCCGUGAAGCGAAGGCCUCACUUUGAGCACCAAGACGUUAGACACGAUGACACUGCGGAUUUUAAUAAGUCAGCUUGGAUUCUCAGUGGAAUAGUGGGACCUGAUGGUGCCUUUGGAAAGCAGUUUCAGAGGGACGCGGGUAAAGAAGACACCAGCCAAGGAAUGGCCCCUUGGGGGGCCAGCAAAUGCUUCAAAAAGACAGACUGGCCUCCUGAGUCCAGAGCUGAUGCACGUCGAGGCCGUCAAGGAAGGUAAGCAUUUGAAUGUGCUGUGGAUUCGGGAAUAAAAGCUCUUAGUCAUUGGCGCCGUUUCUGUGAAAUGGUUGGAGAAGAGACAGACCAGAGGGAAUGGAAGGGAGGAAGCCCCACCGUCCGCAUUCGAACCUGUCUUCUCUUCUGUGCCCUGCCCUGUAUCGCUCCUUCAUUUUCUUGCCAAGAAGGUUGCAGCGGUAGCCGACAUCUACUCUCUCAUUUUCUAACCACCCACCCACCGCCUCCGUCCGCCCCAGCCAAGCCCGUGAAAUGCAUUGCCCACUUCCGGAAGGCAUCGCUGGCCGUCUUCAGGAGCCGCUCCGUCGUUUCUGACGUCAUUCGAUAGUAGGAAAACAAAAAUCCCUUCUGUUUUUUUAUGAGGCAUUUUCAGGUAUCGGGUGCAGAGGUAAAAGUUCAUAAGCACAUACUCUUAAUGAGCUAAGCGCGGGAGCGCUAGAUAAAUAAGAAUGAUUCGGUUUGACAAUUGCAGGGGCGGAACACGGAGUCUUUGGUUGCAUAGUCCAAGAAGAGUGAUUGUCUUUCCCCCUGUCUUCAUGCCAUGACAGGUAGCUUUCCCGUUCCUUGCCAGUUUCAUGAACUUGGAUUUGGACACAUUCCUUUCCCACCUGGUCAAGAAAGUAGAGCGUAUCCGAAUACAAACAAGAGAAAGGGACGUUAAUAGUAUCAGGAUCAUUUUUGAUGUAUUCUUAUUAAUGAAAAAGGAAAAUUGGGGAGUUCCCAUUGUAGAUUGAGGACCCCACGUUAUCUUUGUGAGGAUGCAGGUUUGAUCCUUGGCCUUGCUCAGUGGGUUAAGGAUCUGGUGCUGCUGUGGCUGUGGCAUAGGUCGCAGAUAUGGGUGUUGCUGUGGCUGUGGUGUAGGUUGCAGUGUAUCUCUGUUUUGACCCCUCACCUGGGAACUUCCGCAUGCUGCAGGUGCAUGCCAAAAAAGAAGGAAAAAAAAAAAAAAGAAAGAAACAUAAAAUAUUCACAAACUUCGUAACUUUAUAGUUAGUACCAAAUUCCUUGUGCUACAGCACAAUCCUGAUGAAAGAAGACUCGAAGGCCUCACGGAUAGAGCUCGGGCAGUUGGGUAUUGUGGGUAGUGAGGCUCCUACAGGAGGCGUAGACAAGGCAUCUGACUUGUGAAGUGCCUUCUGUGCUCAGGAGCUUCAGUUUUAUCCAAAAGAGUGAAGGAGAAGCCACAGGAAAAGGAAGACUUCUGGAGGCAAGGUUGAACAUGACCCAGCAGCAUGGAGGUGGGUGAAAGGAGUGUUGUGGUGACCCUGGGGAGAGACGAGGAUGGCCUGAGGUGGGAGAGCCGGCAGAGAUGAAGAGAGCAUAUUUGGAAGAGAAGCAAGAUUCUUAUUCUUGGGUAAAAACUCUGUUUUUUUAAUGGCCACAUCCACAGUAUAUGGAGGUUCCUGGGCCAGGGAUCCAACAGGUGCCUUUGCAGUGACUGGGGCUGCUGCAGGCAGGUUCUGAACCCACAGUGCCACAGUGGGAACUCCUCUAUGGGAAAACUCUUGGUGGUUUGCGUGUAGCACAUGAUCCCGUAUCACUCGGUAAAGGGCUUCACUCUGUUUCCCUUUUGAGCUUCACGUCUUCUUUCCCUUGUGCUCCAGUUUACAGCAAGACAAGUUCGUUGCAGACGGAAAUACCAUUUUGGUGCUUUCUUUUCUCUUUACACUCCCUUUAAAAAUUCUUCAGCUCUGUUGGCACCAACUUCUAUCUCGGUGCUGAUAUCUCCCAGGGAACCUGCCGGAAGUCCAAAGUCAACACGAAUGUGCAGCAGUUAGAGUGGGACGUCUUUCACCUUGGCCUUUGUACUAGCCAGCUUUCUAAAUUUUCCUGUUUCCUUCUUGGGUACUAAUUCUCCCUGUCACUCAGAUUCCAGACUUUGCUUUAAUUUAAAAUUAUACCCUUCUUCAGAAAUUCCCUUUAACUAAGUCAUAUUUUUCUUACAAAAUACCCCUGAACUUUAUCUUUGCUUCUGCUCUAGCCUUCCAUCACUUACCACGAUGCUUGGCAUAGCACAGGCUCCUCGUAUUGACUGAUUGAUUGACUGACAGUCUCCUUAAGUCUAGGGCCUCACAUCUUUAUGCCUGGACCGAUGCCACGGGCUCCUAAGUCGGCUUUCACAUGCUUGCUCCCUUUGCUGGGAAUCCUUCUAACAGGUUCCUUUGCCAAUCAUAUAAUGUCCAAACCCCAUACAUGCACCCCAUCUACCUGUGCAAAUUUGCUAGAGCUGAAAUAGGUCUCAGGGUGUGAGGCAUGCCCAGGAGACCUGAGCAUUCCUUCUUUCACUCUGCUGGCUUUUGGGGGGAUUGUCCCCCCAGAAGGCUCGGAAGCAUUAUGCAAGGACCACUUGCUGGUGGACUCUUUUACUUAAACGUCAAUCUUCAUGCUUAGAUUCUACGAUUCUCUUCUCAUUCCCUUCAAAUAUUGUGCUUCCCCAUCCCAUUCGCACAUUCCCUGCUCCACCAAGACACCCAGGUGGCCACCGUGUCUCCAGUUAUUCACCCAGGGGUUAUUCCUGGCCCCUCUCUCUAAGUCACCUCUUUGUGUACAAUACAGUUCCUCUCUGGAGUCAACGCUCUCCGAUUCUACUGCCGAUGCUACUGCCAACGCUGCUGUAAGAGACAUCAUUUUCCCCUUGCCUUCUCCCUCCUCUCCCAAUUUUACUGACAUCAAAUACACAUAACCUGAAAUUGACCAUCCUAACUCUGUUUCCAUGUACAGUUCAGUAGUGUCAAGUCCAGUCAUAUCCUUGGGCAACCGCUACCGUCAUCCGUUCUGAGAACACUUUCCGUCUUGCAAAACGGAAACUCUGUGCCCAUUAAAUAAUAGCUUCCAGAGUUCCCAUGGUGGCUCAGCAGGUUAAGAAUCUGACAUGGUACCCAUGAGGAUGCAGGUUCAAUCCCUGGCCUCUCUCAGUGGGUUAAGGGUCUGGCUUUGCCACAGGCUUCGGCGUAGUUUGCAGAUGUCGCUUGGAUCUGGUAUGGCUGUGGCUGCGGCUGUCUCCAGUGGCUGCAGCUCCAUUUCGACCCCUGGCCCAGAAACUUCCACAUGCUGCAGGUAUGGCUGUAAAAAACAAAAAACAAAACAACUUCCCGAGACACUCUUCCCGCAGCCCCCAGCAACCACAUUCUACUCACCACCAUUGUGUUACUCUACACAAUGAAAUAUUAUUCAGCCUUUAAAAAGAAAAGGAAAUCCUGCCAUCUGCCACGAGGUGGAUGAAACUGGAGGGCAUCAUGCUGAGUGAAAUAAGACAGACACAGAAAGAUACAGAUUGUGUGAUCUCACUUUAAUUUUUCACUUGCCUUCUCACCUGGUCUCCUUAAUUCCAGAUUUGCCCUUUCUUCUAAUUCAUUAUUUCUCUGUAGCUAGGGCUGCCGAAUUAUAGUUUGAAGGACAAAAACCUGCCUGUUGCUUGUUUUUGCAAGUAAAGUUGGUUGGAACACAGCCAAGCUCAUUGGUGUAUAUUUAUCUGGGGCAGCUUUUCGGCCACAAAGAAAGCAAAGAAUAGCUGAACGCAGAUUCGUAUGGCUCAGAAGUAUAAAAUAGUCAUUAUCUGGCUCUUUAUAGAAAAAGUUGGCUGACCCUCGAUCUAUAGUAACGAGCGAGUUUCCUAAAAUCUCAAUAUGAUCACAUUACUGCUUAGUUUAAAAUCUUGCCAUGAUUUUUCUUUGGUCUUAAAGUAAAUUCAAACAAUUUACUAAAAAGAAGCCUAAAUCGUGGAUCCAUCAUGAUCUCAUACAAAUUCCUUCCUUGCUACUGUUUCUGUGUGUUUCCGGUGGCCUGCCAACCUCUCUCUUGCAUACAAAAUCUUUGUACAUGUGAUUCUUUCUGGCUUAAAUGCUGUUCAGGCUCCUGUCCCCUUUUCUCUCCUCCCUUCCCCCCACUGUUACACUUCCAGCGAAAUCUUACUCUUCUUUUGGUUCACAAGUUGUCUUUCCCUUGCAAAUAGCUUCCCUGACCCUCUCAGUCUGAUUUGGUUCCCGUGCUACGCUCUCUCAUGGCGCUCUCAGUCUUAUUAUUCUUUUAAACAGCUUUAUAGAGGCAUAAUUUGCCUCUCAUACAAUUUUCCCUUUGGAGGUACAGACUUUGAUCAUUUUAGUACAUUUAUCCUUGUGCACCCAUCACAACCAUCCCAUUUUAGAACAUGUCCAUCACCUACAAAAAUCCCCUCAUGCUUAUUUGCAGUCAAUCCUGCUCUUACCUCCAGCUUUCGGCAUCUCUAAUCUGUGUUCUGUCUAAAUAUAUCCUUUGGGAACAUAUCACAUAAAUGGAAUAAUAUGUAGUCUUUAAUAUCUGGAUUGAUUUACUGAGGAUAAUGUUUUUGAAGUUCAGCCGCCUUGUAGCAGGCUUAUUCUUUUCCACGGCUGCAUAGUAUUCCAUUGCACAGAUGUCCCGCAUUUCCUUUACUCCCCACUCGAUGGACAUUUGCCUUGUUUCCAGUUUGGGGCUCUGAUGAAUAAAAUUGCAUUCACAUGCAUGUCAUGAUCCACCUGUCCCACUCCUGGACGUAUAUCUGGAGAAAACCAUAAGUCAAAAAUAUACAUGCACCUCUAUGUUCACUGCAGCCCUAUUUACAAUAGCCGAGACAUGGAAGCAACCUAAAUGAAAGAGGAAUGGAUAAAGAAA
This is a non-coding RNA of Sus scrofa (pig), 5298 nucleotides long. Lineage: Eukaryota; Metazoa; Chordata; Mammalia; Artiodactyla; Suidae. The record is from RefSeq and is a predicted model, not a curated record.